Molecule: long non-coding RNA, 2100 nt
Organism: Passer domesticus (house sparrow)
Lineage: Eukaryota; Metazoa; Chordata; Aves; Passeriformes; Passeridae
Exons: 4
Source: RefSeq, a predicted model, not a curated record
GGGGUCUGUGGGAUUUAUUCCUACACCUAAGCAUCCCAAGGGAUGCAAUCCUUGGCCAGCCCAGGGUGGGGAAGGGACAAGGGCCUGGUGAGCUCCUGCCCUGCCCAAGGUCACCCAGGAUGUCCCAUGGACACCUUGUCAUGUCUCCUAGCAAAACAAUCCACCCUUUAAUCUCUCAGGCUGCAACACAGAAAUAGGAUUUGGAGAGCUCUUGGCAACAGUUCAGGGCUCGCUCAGGUUUUCAGUUCAGAAAUUUGGGGGUUUGAGUGGUUUUAUCCUGAUUAAGGAGGGAGCAGAUGAGGUUUCAUCAAAAGCAGGCCAGAAUUUACCUUACUGCUGAGAGCUGCAGUGGCAUUUUUACUGUAGGUCCCAUGGAAGGCUAAAACAGGUUCUGCAGGGUCCCAUUCCACCUCCACCACAGGAUUCUCACCAUGUAAGCAGAUAAACUUUGGACUGCACCCAGGGAGAGCACAAUUCCAUGUGGAUUUCCACAAAGUAAAGCCCUGCAUGUUGCUCUAGGCACAAAUGGCACAGCACUCUGAAGUAUUUUGGACUGGGAUGCAAAGGAGCUGGAUUUUGGACUGCACCCAAAGGGUCCUGGACACUGGAAGGAAUCCAAAGGGCUGAUUUCCACCACCAUGGAGUAAAUCCCUCUCCUCAGCAAUCUCCUGGCAGCUCCAGACAAGCCCUGUUAUCUCACCACGGCUUCCCACAUCCCAGCCAGUGCCUGCUUUCUGCCCCGUGCCAGCACAUCAUGUUUAGAUUUGUUUUGCAGUCCAGUUUCAUUAGGAUAUCCUUCAAAAGAUUUCACUGCAGAGCUAUGCAAAACUACACAGCAUUCCUUCCCCCUUUAGCCCCCUCAUCCCCUUCCCCACACGGAAAAUCUCUCCUUCAUUUUCAUCUGCUGCAAGUGUGGUUUCAAUUUUUAAUGGGGCUCUCUCCCUGUUUUUGAAAUGUUGGAUUUCAGGCAGCCUCUUUGCACACUCAGCUGCUAGUAUUUACUUUAACAAUUUUUGAGUCAAGUGGGAAAACCAGAAAAGUCGAUAAGAUGUAAAAAGGAUUUUAAAUUAGAUAUUAAUUGUCUGGAUUCCAAUCUGUUACAUAUGAUAUGAAAAAUAUUUAUUUUAUUAGUAAGUGGAUGUUGAGCCAAUUAAGACAACUUUUGACAGGUUGAUAUUGCAAAUCAUGGAAUGGUUUGGGUUGGAAAGACCUUAAAGCCCGUUUUGUUCCACCCCCAGGGACACCUUCCACUAUCCCAGGCUGCUCCAACCCUCUGAGUAACACAUUUUUUCCUAUUCAAGUAUAACCUAAAUCUCUCCCUUGUCCUCCAAAUACUUUGGUGCUCCAUUACUUUUUUCUUACAUGAACUUGAAGUGCCCAUGGAUCACAAAGGGGCUCCACAAUCCCUGUCUGGCUUUCAAAUGUGGCACAAAUCCCAAUUCCCACCUACGGAACAGCCACAUUUUGGAUAUAAACCUUUGCAGACCUUUAGGAAAAACACCAAACACUUCUCAGAGACACAAAUUACAAUCUCAUUUUUGAGAUUUUUCCUUUCUAGCACUGAAAAACCUCCAAAAUGACAGUCCUGGGGUUUCAGAACUAAUAAGGAAUUUUAGCUUUUUAAAAAGCAUCACUUUCCAAGCACUCAGUGAAAAGCAGUUUUUAUUUAGUUACCACUUGCACAUUAUUAAUCUGUUUAAGUCUAUCAAAGCAAUUAGCCAGGAUUCUCCUGUAUCAUCUAAUUAGAUACAAAUGUUGCAUCAUUUUUUGGGAAUGCUUUCCCAGUUUGAAAAGCAGCAUUCUCCUGACUAAUUAGAUCAGUGGUGAAUACUUUAUGAGGGCCUAUUUUUAGGCCAGUGAUUCAACAAACAAAAGUGCCUGAAGUAGGAAGGAAACCUUGAAUCCUUCAGGGUUCUUUUCCUUGGGGUGGUGUCCAGGGCCAUGGCUCAGCUCUGCACACCAUUUACUCAUGGUUUACUCAUGACAAUUAUAUAUAUAUUUAUUUAUAUAUAUAUUUAUAUAUGACAUUAUAUACUCGUGAUAUAUCUCAAAAACACAUCUCACUUGUAAAUACGGAGUAUUAAGAAUGUUUCACCACAA